RNAcentral lists this ribosomal RNA (372 nucleotides) under uncultured bacterium. Its description in RNAcentral is "bacterial SSU rRNA". It matches the Rfam family "Bacterial small subunit ribosomal RNA", at positions 28 to 401 of the family's 1533-position model. The record is from RNAcentral.
GACGAACGCUGGCGGCGUGCUUAACACAUGCAAGUCGAGCGGUAAGGCCCUUUCGGGGGUACACGAGCGGCGAACGGGUGAGUAACACGUGGGUGACCUGCCCUUAGCUCUGGGAUAAGCCUGGGAAACUGGGUCUAAUACCGGAUAUGACUCCAUGACGCAUGUUGUGGGGUGGAAAGCCUUGUGCGGCUAGGGAUGGGCCUGCGGCCUAUCAGCUUGUUGGUGGGGUGANGGCCUACCAAGGCGACGACGGGUAGCCGGCCUGAGAGGGCGACCGGCCACACUGGGACUGAGACACGGCCCAGACUCCUACGGGAGGCAGCAGUGGGGAAUCCUGCGCAAUGGGCGAAAGCCUGACGCAGCGACGCCGCG